This 73-nucleotide transfer RNA is filed under the name Ailuropoda melanoleuca (giant panda). It matches the Rfam family "tRNA". Rfam says of the family: Transfer RNA (tRNA) molecules are approximately 80 nucleotides in length. Their secondary structure includes four short double-helical elements and three loops (D, anti-codon, and T loops). Lineage: Eukaryota; Metazoa; Chordata; Mammalia; Carnivora; Ursidae. The record is from Rfam by way of RNAcentral.
GCCUGGCUGGCUCAGUCAGUAGAGCGUGUGACUCUUGACCUCAGGGUUGUGGGUUCGAGCCCCACGUGGGGUG